This 406-nucleotide ribosomal RNA is filed under the name uncultured bacterium. RNAcentral describes it as "partial 16S ribosomal RNA". It matches the Rfam family "Bacterial small subunit ribosomal RNA", at positions 30 to 526 of the family's 1533-position model. The record is from RNAcentral.
AUUGAACGCUGGCGGCAGGCCUAACACAUGCAAGUCGAGCGAGCGGCGGACGGGUGAGUAAUGUCUGGGAAACUGCCUGAUGGAGGGGGAUAACUACUGGAAACGGUAGCUACUACCGCAUACCAUCAGAUGUGCCCAGAUGUGAUUAGCUAGUAGGUGGGGUAACGGCUCACCUCGACGACGAUCCCUAGCUGGUCUUAGAGGCUGACAGGCCACACUGGAACUGAGACACGGUCCAGACUCCUACGGGAGGCAGCAGUGGGGAAUAUUGCACAAGGGGUGCAAGCCUGAUGCAGCCAUGCCGCGUGUGUGAAGAAGGCCUUCGGGUUGUAAAGCACUUUCAGCGGGGAGGCGUUACCCGCAGAAGAAGCACCGGCUAACUCCGUGCCAGCCGCCGCGGUAAUAC